GUGGGGAAUUUUGGACAAUGGGCGCAAGCCUGAUCCAGCAAUGCCGCGUGUGUGAAGAAGGCCUUCGGGUUGUAAAGCACUUUUGUCCGGAAAGAAAUCUCCUGGGUUAAUACCUCGGGGGGAUGACGGUACCGGAAGAAUAAGCACCGGCUAACUACGUGCCAGCAGCCGCGGUAAUACGUAGGGUGCGAGCGUUAAUCGGAAUUACUGGGCGUAAAGCGUGCGCAGGCGGCUCUGCAAGACAGAUGUGAAAGCCCCGGGCUCAACCUGGGAACUGCAUUUGUGAGUGCAAGGCUAGAGUGCGUCAGAGGGAGGUGGAAUUCCGCGUGUAGCAGUGAAAUGCGUAGAGAUGCGGAGGAACACCGAUGGCGAAGGCAGCCUCCUGGGAUGACACUGACGCUCAUGCACGAAAGCGUGGGGAGCAAACAGGAUUAGAAACCCGGGUAGUCC
RNAcentral lists this ribosomal RNA (450 nucleotides) under uncultured bacterium. RNAcentral describes it as "partial 16S ribosomal RNA". It matches the Rfam family "Bacterial small subunit ribosomal RNA", at positions 354 to 796 of the family's 1533-position model. The record is from RNAcentral.